GACGAACGCUGGCGGCGUGCUUAACACAUGCAAGUCGAACGGAAAGGCCCUGCUUUUGUGGGGUGCUCGAGUGGCGAACGGGUGAGUAACACGUGAGUAACCUGCCCUUGACUUUGGGAUAACUUCAGGAAACUGGGGCUAAUACCGGAUAGGAGCUCCUGCUGCAUGGUGGGGGUUGGAAAGUUUCGGCGGUUGGGGAUGGACUCGCGGCUUAUCAGCUUGUUGGUGGGGUAGUGGCUUACCAAGGCUUUGACGGGUAGCCGGCCUGAGAGGGUGACCGGCCACAUUGGGACUGAGAUACGGCCCAGACUCCUACGGGAGGCGGCAGUGGGGAAUAUUGCACAAUGGGCGGAAGCCUGAUGCAGCAACGCCGCGUGCGGGAUGACGGCCUUCGGGUUGUAAACCGCUUUCGCCUGUGACGAAGCGUGAGUGACGGUAAUGGGUAAAGAAGCACCGGCGAACUACGU
This 467-nucleotide ribosomal RNA is filed under the name uncultured bacterium. Its description in RNAcentral is "partial 16S ribosomal RNA". It matches the Rfam family "Bacterial small subunit ribosomal RNA", at positions 28 to 506 of the family's 1533-position model. The record is from RNAcentral.